Molecule: long non-coding RNA, 195 nt
Organism: Canis lupus familiaris (dog)
Lineage: Eukaryota; Metazoa; Chordata; Mammalia; Carnivora; Canidae
Exons: 2
Source: RefSeq, a predicted model, not a curated record
AUUGCUGCUAUAAACAUUGGAGUACAGAGGUCCCUUCGGAUCACUACAUUUAUGUCUUUGGGUGUUUCCUGCCUUGUGAAGCUGGACCUCUCUAAAGUUCCUGGCUUCGGAAUAAGGGGAAUUUCCAAUAGAAGACCAAGCCAAAACCAGCCCUCAAUUGAGAAUAAAGGGCUCCUUCUUCUGCUUUGUUUCCAA